Molecule: long non-coding RNA, 1308 nt
Organism: Gallus gallus (chicken)
Lineage: Eukaryota; Metazoa; Chordata; Aves; Galliformes; Phasianidae
Source: Ensembl
AGAGAUGACUCCCAAGUCCUCUUAUACCAUCUGGCAGACAUUCUCUUCCUCUUCAUUCACUCUUAGGCACCUUUUCAGAAAGCAUAUGAGAUGAUAGCUCUGAAGUUGUUUAGCCUUUAUUGAAAAUGUCCUACGCAUUAUUCCAGGUGUAAGAAGAUGAUGAGGAGAGCCCUGCGGAAACCAGGCAAAAAAAGAAGCCUUGAAUGCUGCCUAGAUCUCUGUUAACCUUUCGUCCUGCCAUCCACCAUCCUGCCAAUGGGCUGUAUUCCAGAGUUUGCCACUGUCCUGCUGGAUGACAUCAGCAAUAUAUUUGGUACUGCUGGUGCACUUGGCUGGAGAAGAAUUUUGGUGACAUCUCCCUCAUUUGGAAAAGCAAGCCGGAUUUCCCUUUACAAAUUAACUCUGUCUCCAGACGAACGGCUUCUGCCCAUCCUCUCUGCUCCAGGGAUGGUGCCCGUGUGCCUACAACGCUCUUUGUUUGGCUGCCACCAAAUCGAUGUGAAAGCACACAGCAGCAAGAACAUAAUCCAUGGAGGUGUUUGGAGCAGCACCAGGAGAAUGGGCUGGGGGGGUCUUGGGGGCUCAGGAGAGGUACUCAGGGACUGCCAAUGAGCAGCAGCCUCCAGAAGUGCCACCAGGAGUUGGCGGUUUUCUUACCCCCUCAUACCACACCGAUGCUUCCACAAAUGAGCCAAACCCAGCAUAGAUGCAGAAAUGGGCCAGGCAGCUGGGAUGAGCACAACUUGUGAGUAACGCUGGGCUGGAAAAGUAAGGAAAAAAAGAAUUUUCAGCCCAGGAAUACAAGUAGGAAAACGAAUUGGAAUCCAGAUCUCCGAGCUCAGCUGCCCUUCGUUGGGGCAGGGAGAGCUGCAGGGUGCAGAGAGCAGCUCAGAAAGCCCAAGGGUUGUUGUGGCUCAGUCACACCCUCUGAGCAGCAUCUUCUUGCUAUAGCACGUGCAGCUCCUGCCAGAACGACGUCCUUGUCUUCAGCUGGAAGAUGAAACAAAAAAAGAAUUGUGUGCAAUGAGCUAUUUGUGGAGAAAUUUGUCUCAACGUUUGCAUCACUAUUGCAAGAAAAGUCAGCACCAGGACUUUCCUACCAUAGUUAAGGACAGCUCUCAGCUGUGGGGAGCCGCAGGGCAAGUGGUAGGUGCAUGUUGCAACAAGGGAAGAAUUUUAUUUGUAUUGCUGGAAAUAGAGAGAUGAAGAAAACUGCAAGAACCUGUCAUUCUGGUCGAGCCCUUGGAUUUUGUCAGGAUUUAUUGAAUACUUCUUUGCAAUUAAAACUCCCACUGGGUUGUCUUGUGG